GUACAGACUCUUGAGCGGGAGCCAAGCUGACUGGACUAUGAACAAGGCCUCUGUGCUGACCUCUCAGGUGUCCAGGGCAGGGUGUAGGAAGCCGCCUUCCUCUGACAGGAUGGUACUUGUUUGGGACCUGGUGUAGAUGAGGAAGCCCCAAGACCCAGUGUACACAGGGGAAUACCCUUAGGGUCUAGAGUACGAGGAGCAACAACACCCCCAAGUCUCAUCUCAUCAGGAGCCUGGCUGAGGUGAUGGCCAGGCUCAGGCCUCCCUGGCCCUCAUCCACCUGGCUCAUUCCUUGUCAGUGUGAGCUGACCACCUGCAUGGGUGCUGGAAGCUCAGAGCAGAAGCUCCUGGGAGAGCAGGCUGUGAACCUGGGUGUACUGUGUGCACCUCAGAAGGACCAUGGGGGCAGCACAGGAAUGCCUUCAGAGCCAGGUUUGAGAUACAAAGAUGAAUCCUGCCGACAGCAUCACUGGGGCCACAGCAAAGGAGGCAGAGAAGUUACUGUGGUCUUCGGGAUAGAGCAAACAGCAAGGGGCCAACAGUAGAAGGCGAGAAACACUCAUCCCUCCUAUGCUUUGCUGUGUGGAGGACACACUGGCUACAGAUGGCCAGUUAUGGGCAGAGCUAUCCCAUGAGGCUACCACCUGUCAAGGAUGCUGAAAGAACAAUUCCUGAUUGUAAAGGUAGACCACUAAUUCUCCAACCAAGCUUUGCUUAUGGGAAACCUACUGUGGGAGAUGGCUUUCCCCAGUAAUGGGGCUGUGGCUCUGGAACUGUGUUUAGCAGCUUUACUAUGAUACACUACAUUUUAAAAAACUCAUUUGCAAAGUGUGUAUGUAAUUCAAUGAGUUUUGGUGUUUCCACUAUUAUUUUUAUUGUAUGAGUGUUUUGUCUGCAUGUCUGUAAACAUACCAUGUACGUGCUGCCCAUGAAGGCCAGAAGAGGACAUGGAAUGCCCUGGAACUGGAGUCACAGACAGCCGUGAGAUGCUGUGUGGGUGCCGCGUACCCAGGUCCUCUGUAAAGCAAGUGCUCUUAACUGCUGAGCAAUCUCUCCAGCCCCAUCAUCUAUGUUUAGAACAUUUCCUGCACCCCGAAAAUUAGCCUGGUCCUAGACAGCAGUCACACCCUAU
This is a non-coding RNA of Cricetulus griseus (Chinese hamster), 1132 nucleotides long. NCBI's taxonomy places the organism in Eukaryota, Metazoa, Chordata, Mammalia, Rodentia, Cricetidae. The record is from RefSeq and is a predicted model, not a curated record.